UAGUUCAUCAUUCUAACAAAAUAACAAAGAGAUUCUCAUAAACAUAUCAUUACAAACAUGAAGAACAAAAUGAAAGGAGUACAAAAGUUGAGAUAAAACCCUUUUAAAUACGAAUUGUAAUUCCUUCAAUGUAUUCUUCAAACUUUCCUUAAUGAUCUCCUUGCUAUAUCCACUUGAUUCCCAAAAUAAAACUAUAAUUAACAAAAGAAAAUAAAACUAAAAGAAAAAAAACCAAGAAAAAGAGAGAGAGACCUAGAGAGAUAGAGAGAAAAG
This 273-nucleotide long non-coding RNA is filed under the name Olea europaea (common olive). RNAcentral describes it as "long non-coding RNA (OEUR_LNC008496)". The record is from RNAcentral. Lineage: Eukaryota; Viridiplantae; Streptophyta; Magnoliopsida; Lamiales; Oleaceae.